Cinara cedri is the source of this 1113-nucleotide non-coding RNA. Lineage: Eukaryota; Metazoa; Arthropoda; Insecta; Hemiptera; Aphididae. The record is from the annotation of a GenBank genome assembly.
UGUUUAACCUCGACAUAUUGGUCUAAAAUGUAGACAAGAUCGAGAUUCUAAAUGUAUGAAAAACCGAAUUACUUCCAACCGCUUUAAGGUUUUUUAUCCUUACAAUGUAAAAAAUUAAUUUCUGUGGUAAUACAAUAAGAAUAAUUGCAUACUUCGUGAAAUAUAUACCUAGAUUUUUAUACAUACUCCGGAAUUACAAAGGUCGAAUAGGUAUCGAAUUUGUUUUAAACUUCAAAGUGUGGUUAGUAGGCUAGUAGGCUUGAGGCGCAUAAUGAAAACAAAGUCCAAACGGUUUUAGUCCUAAUGCAUAUAUAUUAUAUUACACCCGUUGGCAUAAAUUCUUAAUACAAUUAUUAUAUUAUGUUCUACUUAACACUAAAUCACAGAAUAAUAUCCUUGAGAUGUUUUGUUAUAUAUUAUGAACUUCAAUAGCAAGGACCAAAUGAAUAGUUUGAAUUUAAAUAUCACAUAUAGCUUGGUAGGUAGGCAUAGAUAUACGCACAUUUUGUACCUACAAGCUAUAGGUCUAGAAGGCCAGAAGUAUAAAUAGAUUCGUCGAUAGAAACAAAAAUACAUAAUGGUCAACUUGUAUUUUGGUAUUUUGGUCAAAGUACAUUCGAUCACAUAUUUUAAGAAUGAAUCUUAAAAAUGUGUAAAAUCGUUUGGUAUUGUUAUUACUAAUACCUUUUUUAAAUUAAAUAUUUAAUUAUUUACUUUUAGAUUCAUAAGCAAAGACAUCUAUAUGCAUUAGUCUCACUAUGAUGAAUGACCCAAACCACUACUUAUUGGGAAGAAAAGGGAAUAUAAAGCUUAAGACCGAUACGAAAAGAAGAAGAUUAUGCCAAUGUGGUUACAUAAUUGUUCUACGGUGUUAAGGUCGUUAAGGAUGCCGAACUUAAGAAUUAUUUAACAAUAGAGACAAAAAAAAUAAUUUGAUAAUUCAAUUAGAUUUGUGAUGUAUUGUGAACCUGUUUCAGGUUAUUGGAAACAUCAAUCAAUGGUCAAUCGCGGUAAAGAAGUGGGUACUUACUAUAAUUACAACAUAAACUAUUUGAUUGUUAUACUGUUGUUUAUAACUAAUCUUUUUUUAACAUGUUUUAAAAUUUAGUACAG